RNAcentral lists this ribosomal RNA (702 nucleotides) under uncultured Candidatus Poseidoniales archaeon. RNAcentral describes it as "bacterial SSU rRNA". It matches the Rfam family "Archaeal small subunit ribosomal RNA", at positions 1 to 709 of the family's 1478-position model. The record is from RNAcentral. Lineage: Archaea; Methanobacteriati; Thermoplasmatota; Candidatus Poseidoniia; Candidatus Poseidoniales.
UUCCGGUUGAUCCUGCCGGAGGCUACCGCUAUUGGAGUUCGAUUAAGCCAUGCGAGUCGAGAGUCUUAGGGACUCGGCGUACCGCUCAGUAACACGUGGGUAACCUGCCCUAUGCUGGGGAAUAACCUCGGGAAACUGAGAAUAAUACCUCAUAGUCCACAAUGCCUGGAACGGUUUGUGGAUUAAAGCCCCGGCGGCAUAGGAUGGGCCUGCGGCGUAUCAGGUUGUAGGGGGUGUAACGUACCCUCUAGCCAUCAACGCGUACGGGUGUUGGGAGACAUAGCCCGGAGAUGGAUUCUGAGACACGAAUCCAGACCCUACGGGGUGCAGCAGGCGCGAAAACUUGGCAAUGCGAGAAAUCGUGACCAGGGAACUCCAAGUGGCUGGGGUAAGACCCAGUCUUUUCUUGACUCUUCAAAGGUCUUGGAAUAAGAGGUGGGUAAGGACGGUGCCAGCCGCCGCGGUAAUACCGGCGCCUCAAGUGGUAGUCGAUUUUAUUGGGCCUAAAACGUCCGUAGCCUGUUUGGUACAUUCGUGGGUAAAUCAACCAGCUUAACUGGUUGAAUUCUGCGAGCACGGCCAGACUUGGGACCGGGAGAGGUGUGGGGUACGCUCAGGGUAGGGGUAAAAUCCUGUCAUCCUGAGCGGACCACCUGUUGCGAAGGCGCCACACUAGAACGGAUCCGACGGUCAGGGACGAAG